ACGGAGGAAAGAAGGGGGAAGAGAACCAUGGGAUGUCUUUGAACGAAAUGUUCAAAGCAUUUAAAAUCAUGAUGAAUCCAAAAGUCCUCUUCAAUUCACGUUGAAGAAGUUUUCUCAAGGGAUAAAGAAAAGAAGCCAUCAUCAAGAAUGGCGAUUCAAACCAAAGGCUGUGCUCUAAAACUCUACUCUAUUUAAAUUCAUUACCGUAGUUCAAUUGCUAGUCUUUAUGCUCUAAUAUGUUUCUCUUAAACUUGUCACAUUCUUAAAAUUUUCUUUGA
Molecule: long non-coding RNA, 278 nt
Filed under: Arabidopsis lyrata
Lineage: Eukaryota; Viridiplantae; Streptophyta; Magnoliopsida; Brassicales; Brassicaceae
Description: long non-coding RNA (ALYR_LNC000294)
Source: RNAcentral